This is a long non-coding RNA of Zea mays, 756 nucleotides long. RefSeq lists it as uncharacterized. NCBI's taxonomy places the organism in Eukaryota, Viridiplantae, Streptophyta, Magnoliopsida, Poales, Poaceae. The transcript is spliced from 3 exons. The record is from RefSeq and is a predicted model, not a curated record.
GAAAAUCAUGAAACUUGUCCAUAUGUCAUGAUAUCAUAUGUAGAGGCUGUGAUAAAAUUUUGAGAAUGUUUCGAGAAAAUUGUGACGCACUAUAUUCUCGCUGCUUGUUCAUAUUAUUUGUUCAAAUUCAUAAUAUAAACUAAUACUUUUUAUUUAUCACUUGGGCAAGUCUUGGAAGGAUGUGGAGAAUACAGGGGGUCACGGCCGCAACCCCAAUGGCAUCCUCGGUCUUCUGUACAGGGAACACUUCCCUGAACUGGUUGAGUAUGCUGGAGUGAUGAGCCUAGCCUACACAUUCGACCACUAUGUCGUCGCCUCCAAUGCAGUAGGUCAGGACGACAGGGAAUUCAACAACAUGGCGGAGCGAGUGAAGUAAGAGUUGUGGAUUUCUUCGUAUGCGAGGCUGGAUACGAGGCCAAGGCGGAUGUGGUGGCCACCACGAGCUGUAAGAAGCUCGUCGUCGACAUGCACUACGAGGCCCGAAUCCAGGCCAUCGUCAGCUACCACGGCUCCGUCCUUGGGGAGAAGGUGACCAAGCAGGACGCCCGAACCAUGUCGUUAACUAGGGACCAAUACUUGCAGACGAUUCCUUAUUGGAGCGUCGUGCAUCCUCAGUGCUGGGAGCAGAUGGUGGAUAGGUGGUGCUCGCCUGAGUGGGACGAGGCGCACAACGCUAGCCGGGAACGACGUCUGAUGAUGCAAGGUCCCUCCCACUACCAAUGUAGCCGUAGCCUCGGCAAAUAUGCAGAAGCAUGG